CCCUUAGAUGUUCUGGGCAGCACGCGCGCUACAAUGGUCUUCGCAAACGGAUGCAUUCUCGAGGAGAAUGCCAAUCUUGGAAUCUAUGCCUUGGUCGGGACAGUUGCUUGCAAUUUUUCGACUCGAACCAGGAAUUCCUUGUAAUCGUGAUUCAUCACAUCACGAUGAAUACGUCCCUGCCCUUUGUACACACCGCCCGUCGCUCCUACCGAUCGAAGAGUUAGGUGAAUUGUUUUGAUCGAUAAGAUUUGACUAUGGUCAACUCUCGUUGUGAAAUUCUGUGAAUCUGACUGUUUAGAGGAAGGAAAAGUCGUAACA
Molecule: ribosomal RNA, 318 nt
Filed under: uncultured eukaryote
Lineage: Eukaryota
Description: partial 18S ribosomal RNA
Rfam family: Eukaryotic small subunit ribosomal RNA
Source: RNAcentral